RNAcentral lists this long non-coding RNA (2093 nucleotides) under Homo sapiens (human). Its description in RNAcentral is "non-protein coding lnc-JCAD-10:1". The record is from RNAcentral. Lineage: Eukaryota; Metazoa; Chordata; Mammalia; Primates; Hominidae.
GGUGUCAUGGGGACACUUUCAUGGACUCCUCACUUCAGGACCCUCUUACUGGGUUUCUCACACCCCUUUCAUAGUUUAUCUUUUCGCCGCUUUUCUGUAAUCAUAUCAGAGACUGAUGAUUGUUGGUGACUGCUUUUGUUGCUGUGAUUAGAAUCACAGAGCAGAAGAAGCACCACUAACCAGUGGAAGCAUCUCAGUGCAGAGCACAGAAGUAUGACUGCAAUAUACACGAAAUAGAACUAGAAUGCCUAGUUCUGUAAGUAUAUCACACACUAGGACACAGGUAUGUGUGAGAACCCCGCAUUAUGAAGAUCAGCCAUUAGAAAACCACUGUGUAAAAGGAUCCACUCAAGAUAAGAGCAGCUGCCAUUUGGAGAAAUUGAAAAAGGUAUGAAAUCAGAAAGUCAGAUCACAGAAGAGAAUAUAUGUUUACUUCCAAAUUUAAAUUUUAAAAGUGUGAUGGCUAUAUUAAAAGUGCAAUUUACUUAACUGUCCUGCUUAAAGCUUUGGGGUAAUUGUCUAGGUGGAUCUUAAGUGUAUUUCUCAGUUCAAACAAGCAAUAGUUUCCCAGGUGAAUUGAGAAGGGAUCAGAACCUAAGGUCAGGGAGAUUCAUUCUGAAAAAAAAGAUUCAUAUGUGGGAAACACCCCUAUUUUUUUCCCACUGGGACACAGGGGUGCACACCUGGUCAUCUCUAAGUGGCAGUAACACAUAUGAAGCAGACCCUUGUGGUACUGAAAUGUAUUAACCCAAAGACCUGUCACCACAUACUCGAGCAUCCAGACUGAAAUACUUAGAGAGAUCAGCUUCCAACAGAAUUAAAAGGUAGAUCCCAAGGAUCCAUUUUGAGCACCUUUUUUCAGCCUUUAGUUUUAACUGGAAAUGUAGGGACUGUGAGUUACUGUCUCAUAUUUUGAAAUGAAGGUCUUUUGUUUGAGGAAUUUGCAUUUCAUCGUAGAAACCACGUUCUUGGUUUAGUUACUUUCUACCAAAGGAAGUUCUUCCUGUGUUUUGCAAGUAGGAUGAAGAACCUAACAGACUCCAAUUUAAAAAGAAUAUCAGAGAUAUAUAAUUACACUGGUUUAAAAGAAAUGGGGAAUCUAAUUUCAGAUUGCCACAUGAUGAGAGCUGUUGAAGUCGUUAUCACGGUAUCUGAGUUAGUCACCUAGAUCACAUAUAAUAGAUUCUCAAAUAGAUUUUAAAUCAGUUAUAAUAGUAAUUAAGACUUUGUUGAGCAUCCCAAGUAAAGACAGGAUACUUCAUAUUUCGUAUGAGUUAAAAUCUUAAUAUUAAAAAAAUGUAUAUAACUUGUCUUAAGACCUAGAAAAAAGCAUUGUUGACAUAUUUAGGCCUGUAAUAAAAUAAAGCCACUUCUUUGUAGGUUAUUUUGAAGAUGCAUGUUACCUAGAAGUUUUCAUAAGCCAAGCCUUAGCCUCACAGCACUUUACUUUCAUGAAAAAGAUUUAAAAGAAUUAAGAAAUUGUAAGGACUUCUAGAGAGGUGCAUGCCUUAUUUUCUAAGCCAUUAAAGGUAUACAAUUCUAUGAUUCACAGGCAAAGAAACCCAAAGUAGUUUAUAUAUUUAUUAGGAAAAUACCUGGGACAUAUUUACAUAAAGAGGGAUGGAAAAUGUGUGACAAAUUUGACAUUUAAAAAAAUUAAGAUUUACAUUGUAAUGACAGCAGUGAUUCAGGUUGUAAAGAUUGAUUUACAGUGGAUUAAAAUUCUGCUUAGAUAGUCUUUAUCUAGAACCAGGAAAUUCAACUUUCAGAAAGUCAUUUUCUGAUUCCUAUUUAGGGAGAAGUAAGAUGAACCAAAAAAAAUAUGUGGUAACCCAAAACAGUAACAAAAGAAACCUCCUUGGUGACCUAAAUAACUGUAUAUGAAAAUAAUAAUGUCAUCUGAUAUGGAAACAUGUAACCGAAAACUUUAAAAUCAACAAGUGAAGACAAAUAGUACCCAUGAAUAAUGUUUAAUGCUGUGGUUUUUUGUGGAUUUUUUUCUGUCACUAAAAUGGAAUAUUUUUCUCACUGCUGCACUCUCUUGUCAUCUAGCUCUGCCAAAUUUUUGGCUAUUAAAUCUCUGAAUCAACUCA